GUCCACGCUGUAAACGAUGAGUGCUAGGUGCUGUGGGUAUUGACCCCCGCGGUGCCGCAGCUAACGCGUUAAGCACUCCGCCUGGGGAGUACGGCUGCAAGGCUAAAACUCAAAGGAAUUGACGGGGGCCCCGCACAAGCGGUGGAGCAUGUGGUUUAAUUCGACGCAACGCGCAGAACCUUACCUGGGUUAAAUCCACUCGAACUUAGCAGAGAUGCUUUGGUGCCUUUCGGGGAGCGAGUGAGAAGGUGCUGCAUGGCUGUCGU
RNAcentral lists this ribosomal RNA (266 nucleotides) under uncultured bacterium. RNAcentral's name for it is "partial 16S ribosomal RNA". It matches the Rfam family "Bacterial small subunit ribosomal RNA", at positions 793 to 1055 of the family's 1533-position model. The record is from RNAcentral.